GGUUCAGGAUGAACGCUGGCGGCGUGCCUAACACAUGCAAGUCGAACGAAGCACUUCUGAUCGGAGAUUCGUCGAAGAUUGGAUUUGACUUAGUGGCGGACGGGUGAGUAAUGUAUGAGCAACCUGCCUUUCAGAGGGGGGACAACAGUCGGAAACGACUGCUAAUACCGCAUAAUGUAUAUAGAGGGCAUCCUCGGUAUACCAAAGGAGCAAUCCGCUGAAAGAUGGGCUCAUAUCUGAUUAGUUAGUUGGCAGGGUAACGGCCUACCAAGACUGCGAUCAGUAGCCGGACUGAGAGGUUGAACGGCCACAUUGGGACUGAGAUACGGCCCAGACUCCUACGGGAGGCAGCAGUGGGGAAUAUUGGGCAAUGGGCGAAAGCCUCGACCCAGCAACGCCGCGUGAAGGAAGAAGGUCUUCGGAUUGUAAACUUCUUUUAUGAGGGACGAAGGACGUGACGGUACCUCAUGAAUAAGCCACGGCUAACUACGUGCCAGCCGCCGC
This 504-nucleotide ribosomal RNA is filed under the name uncultured bacterium. RNAcentral describes it as "bacterial SSU rRNA". It matches the Rfam family "Bacterial small subunit ribosomal RNA", at positions 21 to 518 of the family's 1533-position model. The record is from RNAcentral.